GGAUCCCAGCGGCCGUCCUGUAGCUGAGCAGGCCUGGGGCUUGGUUCUAUGUCCCUGUGGCUAUGUUUCCAGUGUCCUCUGGGUGUUUCCAAGAGCAACAAGAAACGAAUAAAUCUCUGACCCUUCUCAGGUGCAGCCAGAGAGACACUAGCCCACUGAUGGACGGACAGACGUGGGCAGGGUACGUGUCACUAAACCUCCCACCACUGCCACAGCUGCCUACAACAGACACAUCAGAUGACACUCCGGGCAAAUAAAUGAUUUUCACUGAGGACUUACUGGUUUUAAUAAUAGGUCCUGGUGUAGAGAAGUCCCUCAACCUAUUGUGCAAUGAGUUUUGAGAAGCGGAGAGGUGCCCAGUGAAUGCAGGUUCCAGACAAAAGGUGGAGCCUGGCAUCCUGCCCUGCAUGGGCUCCAGCCUGCUGCCAUCUGGGGA
RNAcentral lists this long non-coding RNA (436 nucleotides) under Homo sapiens (human). RNAcentral describes it as "HSALNT0409323". The record is from RNAcentral. Lineage: Eukaryota; Metazoa; Chordata; Mammalia; Primates; Hominidae.